This 439-nucleotide ribosomal RNA is filed under the name uncultured bacterium. RNAcentral describes it as "partial 16S ribosomal RNA". It matches the Rfam family "Bacterial small subunit ribosomal RNA", at positions 339 to 795 of the family's 1533-position model. The record is from RNAcentral.
CUACGGGUUGCACCAGUGAGGAAUAUUGCACAAUGGGGGGAACCCUGAUGCAGCAACGCCGCGUGGAGGAUGACGCAUUUCGGUGUGUAAACUCCUUUUAUAUGUCAAGAAAAUGACGGUAGCAUAUGAAUAAGCACCGGCUAACUCCGUGCCAGCAGCCGCGGUAAUACGGAGGGUGCAAGCGUUACUCGGAAUCACUGGGCGUAAAGGACGCGUAGGCGGGUUGGAAAGUCAGGUGUGAAAUCCUACAGCUUAACCGUAGAACUGCACUUGAAACUUCUAAUCUAGAGUAUGGGAGGGGGAGAUGGAAUUAGUGGUGUAGGGGUAAAAUCCGUAGAUAUCACUAGGAAUACCUAAAGCGAAGGCGAUCUCCUGGAACAUUACUGACGCUAAGGCGUGAAAGCGUGGGGAGCAAACAUGAUUAGAUACCCGGGUAGUC